UAUAUAUCUUUUUAAAAUUAAAUUUAAAAAAGUUAAAAUAAAUAAACAAGUUAACACAAAAACAAAAAUAAAGGAAAAGAAUGAGUCGAUAUAGCAUUGAGACACGCGCGCGAAAAAUAGUAUAUAUAAUUUGAUAACUUUCCUGGGGGUAGUGGUCUGGUCCAAUGCAACCCGAAACGUGAAUCGUCAUAAAUUGUACAGUAACGGAAUAAGGAAAAAGUACGCUGUGAGAUAGUUUUGAAAGUGGUUCUCUAUCGCCAUUAGUUGGUUGUAGGUUGAACCGGCUAUACAAGAGAAACGAAAGCAGGUACCAUGUAUUGAGACCGACCAUGACUGCUUCAUAAAGAGGAGAAGAAAGAAGUUUUGUAGCCACCACGUUCUUGAAAUACUUACUUGCCUUAUGAUUUGAUUAUUUGCAUAAUUACUAAUUUACAACAACACAAUUAUCGAUAAGAUACAAUCGUUCCUCUCAAUACUAUAUCGGGGUAAGAGGUGGGACUCAUCAUCAUCAUCAUCAUCAUUUAUUUUCUUCCAUCGCACUCAUCAGGGUGUUUGCUCUUUUCCAUCCAAGCCAAAGAGCGACUUCAGUGUGCUCUGAACCGUGGAUGUGAGAGUGUGUGUUUGUGUGCUGCGUGAACUAUUUUUCCUGCGUGAAACACUUUCCAUACUGCGCCAUCCGCGGUGUUCUUUCUGCUUCAUCGGAGGACGAAUUUUGGGUAAGUGUCCUUUUCUAAGUGUCUAGUGCUAUGUGACAUUUAUUCUAAUUCUAAUAUUAUUCUAAUAUGCAAUGUUUUGCACAUUACAAGUUUCAGAUGUGUGCUGCUACCGCUAGUUGUUCCUCAAACUACUUAAAAAGUGUGACACUGUGUGCACAGGCGUUCAAGUUUCAAUUGAUCCUCAAGCACAAAGCCUUCAUACAACACCGCGGUUGAGGCGCGCCAAAUCUGAUGACAUCUUUCCUGAACCAAGCAGGCUGAACACGCGCACCACCACGGGCUCCAGCGCGGUGUGAAGAGGGAAGAAGAAAAGGCAGAAUUGGAAACAGCCGCACCAGGCUUCCAACCACCGUGUGUGUGUGUGUGUAUUUAAGUAUGUGAGAACACAUGUGUGAAUCCUCUUGUGGGAACUGCAAAAAGAAGAGAAUAAAGAGUGUGAAGCAGCUAGACUGCCGCAACCAAA
Long non-coding RNA from Anopheles gambiae (African malaria mosquito), 1179 nucleotides. RefSeq lists it as uncharacterized. The transcript is spliced from 2 exons. Lineage: Eukaryota; Metazoa; Arthropoda; Insecta; Diptera; Culicidae. The record is from RefSeq and is a predicted model, not a curated record.